Molecule: non-coding RNA, 2930 nt
Organism: Drosophila virilis
Lineage: Eukaryota; Metazoa; Arthropoda; Insecta; Diptera; Drosophilidae
Source: RefSeq, a predicted model, not a curated record
GGAGCAUUCAUAUUGUUUGACAGUUGUUACAAAAAAAGAAAUAAAAGAGUAAAUCAAAAAUUAAAUUGAGACGCGAGUUGUUCACCUUCAGCUGGGAGACGCGUAAAUCGAGUGCGACGCUUUGUUUGUCCAUGCUAAUGAAUGAAGGACUAAAAGGACACGGCAUAAAGGGUUUCGCGCGUGUUUGUGGUACAGAAAUAAAUGCGCGUUUUAGUAAAAAUGUGUGCACAAACCAGCUUAACCGAGCAGAGAGAGGCUGCCGGGCGGAUUGCUCUGCAUUUGAUCCCGAUAACCUAUGAUUAUUUGGACUAGGACCUGGCGCCACUUGACAGCUGCGCCGAUACUGAUUUAUGUAGCGCCCGAGGCCUAGCCAAACCGAACAGCAGUUGGCUGACAUACCCAGGAAUUAAUGGGUAGCACAAUUGAGUUGUCAGGACGAGAACGAGAGCGAGAACAAGAACAAGUGCGACGGCGUCUUGUGGCGAGUUGUGGAUUAGGGAUCAGUUCGUCGAGCUGCCGUCUAUUAGAAGCUGCACACUCAAAACCCAAUUUUGCGAGAAUCCUGUCUGCUGUUUGUCAGCCUAUUACUUAAUCAAGACUCUCGUUUUUAACCAGAAGUCUAAAGGAUAUAAGAGAUUGUAUGUAGAAAGGACGUUGCAUGUUUUGACACAAGGCGGCGACAACAACAACAGCAACGACAACAACAACAACAACAAAUGUAAACAGACACUGCCCAACUGUUGCUGUUGCGCCUGCUGCUGUUGUUGUUGUUGCUGUUAUGUAAUUGGAACUGCAGUUAUUCAACUCUAGUGUUUUGUAUCCUGGGUGCCGUUUUUAACACGCCUUCCUCAAGUGCCCAAAUGGCUGCUCUAUCGCUACCUGAUCGCUGCCUGCACUAUUUAUAAUGAGGUAGUUACUCGACUGCGAUUUCGCCUGAUUAGGCAGAAACAACAGCCUCGAAGAAGUUGAGCCACAGCGGCAGCUGCUACAGGAAACCAUCUUGGGGAGGGGUGUCCAUUCUAAUGUCACUGUGCCGUGCCACAGUCUGCUAAUCAGCUGCGUGGCCAGCUCCAUGUCACAGCUUGAUGCGCCCUCUGCCUGGCUAAAGGGUCAGCCCAUGCGCCCAAAAUUGAGCUGACCGAAUGCUUGACCACUGGGUGCCCGCCUGAUUGGCCCGCGUGUUGUUCUGCCGCGCGGAGGUGACCAAAGGCGCAGGCGCAACGGAUUAGCACUGGGUCUUGACCAGCCGAAUGAAACCACGGUGCGGUGCACGGUGCUCGGCGAGCCGAGCUGGGCUGGACAGGGCCGGGCCGGGGCGGGGCGGGCCAGUUGCCUUUGCUUUUGUCCGCUCACGACCGCUUGGCACGAAAAUGAAGCUGUUUUAGGCGCUGCGAGAACAAUGCUCCCAGUUACGAUCCACGCACCGGGAGAACUUGCUUCACUUUUAUUGUUGUGCCCCGUAAUUGCUGCCCUGAGACCAGGCAUUAGUGCCCCGGCACGCAGCCAUUCUUUACAUCCCACCCUCCUGCAUCCGUUGCUGCGCGGGCAACCGCAUUCAGUCGCAUUCUGAACAAAGUUUUUUUUUUGCUGCUCUCAAACUUUAUUGAGGCGCUCGCAUGCAAAUAAGAGAGAAAACUGAAAAAAAAAACAAUAAACACCAAAGCCAACACAGAUAUGCACGCGGUUCUGGUCUUUGGACGUCUGCCACGAUGCGGGAUUAAGUGACACAAAGUGGAAGCACUUUGCCGGAAACAGAUUGAACAAAUGAGACACUCGAAGCGCAGACACCUCGUCGAGGAGUGGCCCCGAGCUCGCCUGCCAGAAAUGCUCAUUUGGCCAGCAGCCGAAGGAAAAAAAGUGUCAGACAGCUCGUGACAAGGCCCUGAAGCAAGGAUCAGCUGCGCAAGGAAUGAGGUCCACUCUUAGUCCAGAAUUUGUCACGGCUGCAGAGUGCGAACAAAGCGACAGUUUUCUUUUUGUUUUUGAUCACAUUAUUACUGAGAUGCAGUCCCGACCUGCUUUACUCUGCUUUUCUUUUAGUCGCCCGGCCAUGAAAAUUGCAAUUUUUCCCCAGAUAAUUUCAAUUUGUGAGCGCACAACGGGGCAAUGUUUCAAUGUUGCAACCUCGUAACGUCGUUUGCCGCUUCACCACACAGCCAAUUAGCCAGGGCGAGAGGCUGGGACAGGCGGCAAUUGAUUCGUUGCGCCAUCAUCGCUAUCAAUAGGAGGAACAGAAGCAGGAGCCGAUGUUCCAUCAAUGUGUGGUGGAUCGACCGCAAUCAUUUGGCCACAGCGGGUACUCGUGGCUCCGUCUCUGGUCGGAGUGGAACGGAAAGGAACGGAACGGAACGGAUUGAGCAAGUUUUGGCAACGUUCUUGGGAAAAAGGCUGUUUCGAUCGGGCAGCUCCAUGUGAUGAGCGUUGCUAACGCGCCCAUUUAUGGACACACUGGACCCCUGGGCAUAUUUGUCAUGCCACAUUUUGUAGCGUGCCGCAACCUUAUGCGGCGUUUUGCACACAUAUUUCUAUAUGCGAUCUGCGAGACUCUGAUGAUCAUUAUGAUGUGGAUGAUGUAUUCAUUUAGACCCGGACACCCUGCCGCUGUCACAUGCCCAUCGGCAUCACCGUCAUUAUUAUCAUUAACUGAAGUGCUAAGUGGCCGCGUGUGACCAAUUUGUUGGGCACAGCUGCCAAUAACGGGCCCGACGCGGGCCCACUGGCCAUUGUUGUCCGCACGUUAAAUGUGCCAAUGAGCCAUGGGUGGUGCCUUCGACGAAGUUCUGCAAUCUGAAGCCAAACAAAUUACGACCAGGUGACUUGCUUUGAAACUAUGGCAAAGCAUUAAAUUGUAUUAUCGAUAUUGCGAGUACUCAUCAAGCUUAGAUGCAAAUCAGUUAUUGCCCAAUAAUCAUUUUUUAUCAAUUCCAAAA